This 330-nucleotide ribosomal RNA is filed under the name Pomatoschistus minutus (sand goby). RNAcentral's name for it is "partial 12S ribosomal RNA". It matches the Rfam family "Bacterial small subunit ribosomal RNA", at positions 865 to 1362 of the family's 1533-position model. The record is from RNAcentral. Lineage: Eukaryota; Metazoa; Chordata; Actinopteri; Gobiiformes; Gobiidae.
UCGCUUGCCAGGGAACUACGAGCCCCAGCUUAAAACCCAAAGGACUUGGCGGUGCUUUAGACCCCCCUAGAGGAGCCUGUUCUAGAACCGAUAACCCCCGUUAAACCUCACCCCCUCUUGUUCUCCCCGCCUAUAUACCGCCGUCGUCAGCUUACCCUGUGAAGGACUAAUAGUGAGCAUAAUUGGUACAACCUAAAACGUCAGGUCGAGGUGUAGCGUAUGAGGGGGGAAGAAAUGGGCUACAUUCACUGACCCAGUGAAAACGAACGAUGAUUUGAAACACCCAUCCGAAGGAGGAUUUAGCAGUAAGAGGGCAAUAGAGUGCCCCUC